Molecule: ribosomal RNA, 397 nt
Filed under: uncultured bacterium
Lineage: Bacteria
Description: bacterial SSU rRNA
Rfam family: Bacterial small subunit ribosomal RNA
Source: RNAcentral
AACGAACGCUGGCGGCAUGCCUUACACAUGCAAGUCGAACGGCAGCACGGGAGCAAUCCUGGUGGCGAGUGGCGAACGGGUGAGUAAUGUAUCGGAACGUACCUUUCAGUGGGGGAUAACGUAGCGAAAGUUACGCUAAUACCGCAUAUUCUGUGAGCAGGAAAGCAGGGGAUCGCAAGACCUUGCGCUGAUUGAGCGGCCGAUAUCAGAUUAGCUAGUUGGUGAGGUAAAGGCUCACCAAGGCGACGAUCUGUAGCGGGUCUGAGAGGAUGAUCCGCCACACUGGAACUGAGACACGGUCCAGACUCCUACGGGAGGCAGCAGUGGGGGAAUUUUGGACAAUGGGGGCAACCCUGAUCCAGCCAUGCCGCGUGAGUGAAGAAGGCCUCGGUGUAAG